ACCUGCCACAUGCACCCACAGUUGCAUUGUACUAAAUGAUAUUUCAGACCAUAUGCCUGUAGUAGCAAGUUUUAUCGAUGACUUGCUUCCAGUGUGUCAAGAAAAAGUUGUUAAACGUUCUUUCGAUGUAAACAAUUUAAAUAAAUUUCGUGAACUUCUCUCACAAGUUGACUGGAAUAGUAAAUUAAUCCCGACAGAUGC
Paramuricea clavata is the source of this 201-nucleotide non-coding RNA. Lineage: Eukaryota; Metazoa; Cnidaria; Anthozoa; Malacalcyonacea; Plexauridae. The record is from the annotation of a GenBank genome assembly.